This 69-nucleotide transfer RNA is filed under the name Bos indicus (zebu cattle). It matches the Rfam family "tRNA". From Rfam's summary of the family: Transfer RNA (tRNA) molecules are approximately 80 nucleotides in length. Their secondary structure includes four short double-helical elements and three loops (D, anti-codon, and T loops). Lineage: Eukaryota; Metazoa; Chordata; Mammalia; Artiodactyla; Bovidae. The record is from Rfam by way of RNAcentral. RNAcentral also lists the same sequence under 2 other names.
CCUGGUGGCUCAGAGGGUAAAGCAUCUGCCUGCAAUACAGGAGACCUGGGUUCGAUCCCUGGGUCAGGA